RNAcentral lists this ribosomal RNA (301 nucleotides) under uncultured bacterium. Its description in RNAcentral is "partial 16S ribosomal RNA". It matches the Rfam family "Bacterial small subunit ribosomal RNA", at positions 509 to 807 of the family's 1533-position model. The record is from RNAcentral.
CAGCCGCCGCGGUAAUACGUAGGGUGCAAGCGUUAAUUGGAAUUACUGGGCGUAAAGCGUGCGCAGGCGGUUAUAUAAGACAGAUGUGAAAUCCCCGGGCUCAACCUGGGAACUGCAUUUGUGACUGUAUAGCUAGAGUACGGCAGAGGGGGAUGGAAUUCCGCGUGUAGCAGUGAAAUGCGUAGAUAUGCGGAGGAACACCGAUGGCGAAGGCAAUCCCCUGGGCCUGUACUGACGCUCAUGCACGAAAGCGUGGGGAGCAAACAGGAUUAGAUACCCGCGUAGUCCCUGUCUCUUAUAC